UCCACCCUUCCUGAAUCAUAGGAUAAUCUGGGUAGUUUGUCUCCUUGUGGCUGAACUUUUGUUCUCUGGCACAUGCAUACCCUCUCCUAUAUGGAUUUCCAUAUCUGGCGUGGACCUUUUUGGUAGGCUAUGAUUGUAUAUCCUCCCCGUGAAUAUAGAGACAUUGAUCUCCAUAUACAGCAUUCUCCCCUUGUUUUUGGCGUACUUUCACACUGAGACAGGAUUCUAUCUACAGAUCUUAUUGACUACAUGUAUUUCUCUGACACAAUGAUCGUCUGUAAUACCCCUUGAAGAAGGAUCACAGAUACCGAAGCGGCUGUCGGGUUGGACCAAUUUUU
Molecule: long non-coding RNA, 338 nt
Organism: Rana temporaria (common frog)
Lineage: Eukaryota; Metazoa; Chordata; Amphibia; Anura; Ranidae
Exons: 3
Source: RefSeq, a predicted model, not a curated record